This 500-nucleotide ribosomal RNA is filed under the name uncultured bacterium. Its description in RNAcentral is "partial 16S ribosomal RNA". It matches the Rfam family "Bacterial small subunit ribosomal RNA", at positions 30 to 523 of the family's 1533-position model. The record is from RNAcentral.
AUUGAACGCUGGCGGAAUGCUUUACAUAUGCAAGUCGAACGGCAGCACGGACUUCGGUCUGGUGGCGAGUGGCGAACGGGUGAGUAAUGUAUCGGAACGUGCCCAGUCGUGGGGGAUAACGUAGUGAAAAUUACGCUAAUACCGCAUACGAUCUAUGGAUGAAAGCGGGGGAUCGCAAGACCUCGCGCGAUUGGAGCGGCCGAUAUCAGAUUAGGUAGUUGGUGGGGUAAAGGCCCACCAAGCCAACGAUCUGUAGCUGGUCUGAGAGGACGACCAGCCACACUGGAACUGAGACACGGUCCAGACUCCUACGGGAGGCAGCAGUGGGGAAUUUUGGACAAUGGGCGAAAGCCUGAUCCAGCCAUUCCGCGUGCAGGAUGAAGGCCCUCGGGUUGUAAUCUGCUUUUGUACAGAACGAAAAGGUUUCUACUAAUACUAGGAGCUCAUGACGGUACUGUAAGAAUAAGCACCGGCUAACUACGUGCCAGCCGCCGCGGUAA